AGAGUUUGAUCCUGGCUCAGAUUGAACGCUGGCGGCAUGGCUAAAACAUGCAAGUCGAACGCGUGUAGCAAUACACGAGUGGCGAAAGGGCGAGGAAUAGAUUCCUACGUACCCCGGAGUCAGGGAUAACCAUCGGAAACGGUGGCUAACACCUGAUGAUCUCGAAAGAGCAAAGUUUACGCUCUGGGAGCGGGGAAUCUCCUAUCAGCUAGUUGGUGAGGUAAUGGCUCACCAAGGCUAAGACGGGUAGCGGGUGUGAGAGCACGGCCCGCCGCAUCGGGACUGAGACACUGCCCGGACUCCUACGGGAGGCUGCAGUAACGAAUCUUCCGCAAUGCGCGAAAGCGUGACGGGGCAAUGCCGCGUGUGGGAUGAAGCCCUUCGGGGUGUAAACCACUGUCAGGGUCUAGGAACACAAUGACCAUACCCAAAGGAAGCACCGGCUAACUCUGUGCCAGCAGCCGCGGUAAUACAGAGGGUGCGAGCGUUAAUCGGAAUCACUGGGCUUAAAGGGUCCGUAGGCGGGACUGCAGGCGUCGAGUGAAAUACCACGGCUCAACCGUGGAACUGCUCGGCGAACCGCAGUUCUUGAGGCGAGUAGAGGCGAUCAGAACGAUAGGUGGAGCGGUGAAAUGCGUAGAUAUCUAUCGGAAUGCCGAAGGUGAAGACAGGUCGCUGGGCUCGUCCUGACGCUGAGGGACGAAAGCGUGGGGAGCAAACGGGAUUAGAUACCCCGGUAGUCCACGCCGUAAACAAUGCGCACUGGGUCGGGGAGGUUUGACGCCUUCCUGGCCGAAGCAAAAGUGUUAAGUGCGCCGCCUGGGGAGUACGGUCGCAAGGCUAAAACUCAAAGGAAUUGACGG
Molecule: ribosomal RNA, 863 nt
Filed under: uncultured bacterium
Lineage: Bacteria
Description: bacterial SSU rRNA
Rfam family: Bacterial small subunit ribosomal RNA
Source: RNAcentral